UGAAAUCCAUCGUCAUUCUUCACGGAACAGAAUCAAAAUCCCCUUUGCUUACCCAUGUUCUCUUCCUUUCAUACAACUUUAUCUGAGCAACAUUCGCCAUUGUCGGUUGGUUGCACAGCUUUAACAGCUUUUUGUCCAUUCAUUUAGCUCUUCAAAUCCAUCCAAAAUCUUCACUCCUCGCUGUCUUAAGCUCACUCGCCAUCUUUUCUUUAUGUACAAAUCUGCC
RNAcentral lists this unclassified non-coding RNA (226 nucleotides) under Hevea brasiliensis (rubber tree). Lineage: Eukaryota; Viridiplantae; Streptophyta; Magnoliopsida; Malpighiales; Euphorbiaceae. The record is from RNAcentral.